UUUUUUUAAUGUGUCUGUGUUUGGUUUUAGUAUCAUGGUAACACCAGCCUCAUAGAAUGAGUUUGGAAGUAUUCUCUCCUCCUCUGUUUUUCAAAAUACUUUGAAUUAUGUUAGUAUU
Long non-coding RNA from Cebus imitator (Panamanian white-faced capuchin), 118 nucleotides. RefSeq lists it as uncharacterized. The transcript is spliced from 3 exons. The record is from RefSeq and is a predicted model, not a curated record. NCBI's taxonomy places the organism in Eukaryota, Metazoa, Chordata, Mammalia, Primates, Cebidae.